UACGUAGGUGGCAAGCGUUGUCCGGAUUUACUGGGCGUAAAGCGAACGCAGGCGGACUGUUAAGUAAGAAGUGAAAGGUUGGAGCUCAACUCUGACACGGCUUCUUAUACUGGCAGUCUUGAGUCUUGGAGAGGAAAGCGGAACGACACGUGUAGCGGUGAAAUGCGUUGAUAUGUGUCGGAACACCGAUGGCGAAAGCAGCUUUCUGGACAAGUACUGACGCUGAGGUUCGAAAGCCAAGGGAGCGAACAGG
RNAcentral lists this ribosomal RNA (253 nucleotides) under uncultured bacterium. RNAcentral's name for it is "partial 16S ribosomal RNA". It matches the Rfam family "Bacterial small subunit ribosomal RNA", at positions 524 to 776 of the family's 1533-position model. The record is from RNAcentral.